AAAUUGAAGAGUUUGAUCAUGGCUCAGAUUGAACGCUGGCGGCAGGCCUAACACAUGCAAGUCGAGCGGAAACGAGUUAUCUGAACCUUCGGGGAACGAUAACGGCGUCGAGCGGCGGACGGGUGAGUAAUGCCUAGGAAAUUGCCCUGGUGUGGGGGAUAACCAUUGGAAACGAUGGCUAAUACCGCAUAAUGCCUACGGGCCAAAGAGGGGGACCUUCGGGCCUCUCGCGUCAGGAUAUGCCUAGGUGGGAUUAGCUAGUUGGUGAGGUAAUGGCUCACCAAGGCGACGAUCCCUAGCUGGUCUGAGAGGAUGAUCAGCCACACUGGAACUGAGACACGGUCCAGACUCCUACGGGAGGCAGCAGUGGGGAAUAUUGCACAAUGGGCGCAAGCCUGAUGCAGCCAUGCCGCGUGUGUGAAGAAGGCCUUCGGGUUGUAAAGCACUUUCAGUCGUGAGGAAGGUAGUGUAGUUAAUAGCUGCAUUAUUUGACGUUAGCGACAGAAGAAGCACCGGCUAACUCCGUGCCAGCAGCCGCGGUAAUACGGAGGGUGCGAGCGUUAAUCGGAAUUACUGGGCGUAAAGCGCAUGCAGGUGGUUUGUUAAGUCAGAUGUGAAAGCCCGGGGCUCAACCUCGGAAUAGCAUUUGAAACUGGCAGACUAGAGUACUGUAGAGGGGGGUAGAAUUUCAGGUGUAGCGGUGAAAUGCGUAGAGAUCUGAAGGAAUACCGGUGGCGAAGGCGGCCCCCUGGACAGAUACUGACACUCAGAUGCGAAAGCGUGGGGAGCAAACAGGAUUAGAUACCCUGGUAGUCCACGCCGUAAACGAUGUCUACUUGGAGGUUGUGGCCUUGAGCCGUGGCUUUCGGAGCUAACGCGUUAAGUAGACCGCCUGGGGAGUACGGUCGCAAGAUUAAAACUCAAAUGAAUUGACGGGGGCCCGCACAAGCGGUGGAGCAUGUGGUUUAAUUCGAUGCAACGCGAAGAACCUUACCUACUCUUGACAUCCAGAGAACUUUCCAGAGAUGGAUUGGUGCCUUCGGGAACUCUGAGACAGGUGCUGCAUGGCUGUCGUCAGCUCGUGUUGUGAAAUGUUGGGUUAAGUCCCGCAACGAGCGCAACCCUUAUCCUUGUUUGCCAGCGAGUAAUGUCGGGAACUCCAGGGAGACUGCCGGUGAUAAACCGGAGGAAGGUGGGGACGACGUCAAGUCAUCAUGGCCCUUACGAGUAGGGCUACACACGUGCUACAAUGGCGCAUACAGAGGGCAGCAAGCUAGCGAUAGUGAGCGAAUCCCAAAAAGUGCGUCGUAGUCCGGAUUGGAGUCUGCAACUCGACUCCAUGAAGUCGGAAUCGCUAGUAAUCGUGGAUCAGAAUGCCACGGUGAAUACGUUCCCGGGCCUUGUACACACCGCCCGUCACACCAUGGGAGUGGGCUGCAAAAGAAGUAGGUAGUUUAACCUUCGGGAGGACGCUUACCACUUUGUGGUUCAUGACUGGGGUGAAGUCGUAACAAGGUAGCGCUAGGGGAACCUGGCGCUGGAUCACCUCCUUAAACGAUGAU
Molecule: ribosomal RNA, 1562 nt
Filed under: Vibrio owensii
Lineage: Bacteria; Pseudomonadati; Pseudomonadota; Gammaproteobacteria; Vibrionales; Vibrionaceae
Description: bacterial SSU rRNA
Rfam family: Bacterial small subunit ribosomal RNA
Source: RNAcentral